Molecule: small RNA, 2739 nt
Filed under: Plasmodium falciparum NF54
Lineage: Eukaryota; Apicomplexa; Aconoidasida; Haemosporida; Plasmodiidae
Also listed under: 1 other name
Description: partial non-coding RNA
Source: RNAcentral
AUUAUUUUCAAUUUUUAUUUUCUUUUUUAAUUUUUUAAUAUUUAAAUAAUUCACUCUUUUGUUCAUGAAAUUUUCCUUUUUCAUUAAAAGUUUCUGUUCUUUUAGAUUGUUUGAUAAGAAAGAAAAUGUUUAUGAAAUAAAUAAAUCAACAUAUAUAUAAUAUUGUAGAAAGAAUUAUAUAAAAGUUGAGUAUGGAGAGAUAUACAGUAUAUGUGAAAUAUAUGUAUAGUCUAAGGUUUUUAUCCAUAAAAAAUAAAAUCUGGAUGUUUUAUAUAAUAAAUUAACGUUUAUACAGCUAAAUGUUAAAUUUAUAAUGGAAAUUCCAUUAAAUAAAUAUGUACACCCCUCACCCCUCUUUUAUUCUGUGUAAUAAAUGUAACAAAGAAGUGUUGAUGAUUACUGAUAAUUGUAUAGGAAAGACAAUUGUGCAAAUAUAUAUAUAUAUAUAUAUAUAUAUAUAUAUAUAUUGUUCUUAUAGUAAUUAAAUAUAUUACACAAUUAUAUAAUAUUUAGUUAAUAUGUAUAUAUUGUGUAUAUAUAUAUAAUCAUAACUUUUGAGUUAUAUAUAUUACGUAAGUAUAAAAGGGGGUGGUGGUGGUGGAAAUGUUAUUGAAUAUAUCACAAAUGUUGUGUGAAAUACAUGAUACUUAAGGUAUAUGUAGAGUAUUUUUUGUAAGCCAUUUUAAAGGUUUUACGCGCCUUUAAAGGUAGAGAUAUAGUAAAUAUAUUUUAAUUGUUCGGUUUAAUUUUUACUGUUCAAUAUGAUGAAGAUAUAUAAAGAUCUUUUAUUUCGUAAGAAAUAUUAGGUUGAGCUAUCUCUAAAUAGAUUUCAUAGUAGUAAGUUGUGUAUACUAUAAUUUAUUUUGUAGUACACAUUUUUGCCAUUAUGAAAUUUAUAUGUGAAAAGUCGUAUGUGUAUGUUUAGAAUGCAGGGUUACACAUGUGUACCCUUUUGUUUAAAAGCCUUGUAAAGGUUUUACGCGCCUUUAAAGGUGGGGAGGCAAAUAUAUUUUAAUUGUUCGGUUUAUUUUUUACUGUUCAAUAGGAUGAAGAUAUAUAAAGAUCUUUUAUUUCAUAAGAAAUAUUAGGUUGAGCUAUCUCUGAAUAGAUUUCAUAGUAGUAAGUGUGUAUACUAUAGUUUAUUUUGUAGUACACAUUUACUAUUAUGAAAUUUGUAUGUGAAAAGUCGUCGUAUCUGGAUGCUUAGGAUGGAUGGAUAAACAAAGUACCCCUUAUUUUAAAAAUCCUUGUAGAGGUUUUGCGCGCCAUUAAAGGUGGGGAAGUAAAUAUAUUUUAAUUGUUCGGUUUAAUUUUUACUGUUCAAGAGGAUGAAUAUAUAAAGAUCUUUUAUUUCGUAAGAAAUAUUAGGUUGAGCUGUCUCUAAAUAAAUUUCAUAGUAGUAAGUGUGCAUUUAUAGUUUAUAUAUUGUAAUGUGCAUUUAUAGUUUAUAUAUUGUAAUGUGCAUUUACUAUUAUGGAAUUUAUGUCUCAAAAAGGUCGUAUUUUAAUGUUUAGGUUGGACGAAUAAACAGGUGUACCCUUAUUUAAGAAAUCCUUGUAAAGGUUUUGCGCGCCUUUAAAGGUGGGGAAGUAAAUAUAUUUUAAUUGUUCGGUUUAAUUUUUACUGUUCAAGAGGAUGAAUAUAUAAAGAUCUUUUAUUUUUUAAGAAAUAUUAGGUUGAGCUAUCUCUUAUUUAAUUAUCGUAUGGUAAAUAUAAAACUAGUUUAUAAAAAAGCUAGUUUUUAUUUUUAUCAUAUGAUAAUUAAUUUUAAAUAGUCGUAUGUUUUAUUAAAACCCUUUGUGAGAGUCUUACGAGCCUUCAAAGGUAGAGGUGUAAUGAAAAUAUUUUGAUCUGUUCCUGUCUUGGUCAAAAUACCCUCAAAAUAUUUUUUAUGUAUACCUUGGGGUUACUUCUUAAUUAAUCAAUACAUAAAUGUAUAUAUAUGAUGUGGCUAUUUUUAUAGCAUGUUGUAUAUAUAUUAUUAUAGAGGUGAUUAAUAAAAAUUCAGUACAAGAGGCGGUUGGUCGGCAAAUAGAAACGAUAUAAUUAUUUUUAAUAAUUAUAGAAAUCCUUAUAGAGGCCAUUGACGAGGCUAUAAAGGUGGGGUGCAUACAUAUAUUUAUAUAAAAGGAUAUAAAUAUAUCUAGUUUAUGAAAUAAAAUGGACAAUAUAAAAUUUGUUCUUGUUUUUUUUUUAAUAAAUCUAGGAUGCACUUUUAAGGUUGAUUUAUUCAUUGUCCUUACAAUAAUAUAAAUAUAUUUAUAUAUAUAUAUAAUGAUGUGGUGAAAACUUAUCAUUAUAUGAUAUUUUUAUAUAUUAUUGUAAUUAUAGAGUGAUUUUUUAUAAUACAAAGAAUUUCAACUGUACAAGAAAUGACGUUAUCCCUUUGACGUAUAAAAAGCCUCGUGGGUAUAACGCACCAAGAGAGGUGGAGAAAAACUACAUUUGAGUUUUUAUUAUGAAGGAAAAUAAUCGUUUCUCAUAUAAAAGCACACAUAUAUAUAUGUAUAUAUAUAUAGUAGUCUUUUUAUCAAAUGGUAUGUUAUUCUUCGAGUUGUUUGCGAAUAUAAAUAAUUAUAAUGUUUUUUGCGAACACUGCAGACAUAAAAAUGUAUUUAUGUUUUUUUUUUUAUAUGUUUAUAUAAAACUGCAGUUAGUAGUUAGUAGUGUAUAGUUAUAUAUUAGUAGUAUUCAACAAAAAGUCGGUAUGUUCAAUAAAUAAAUUCUUUUUAAGGUUUA